GGAAGGACUACAGCUCAGUAGUAGAGCAUCUGCUUUGCAUGCAGAAGGUCAAGGGUUCAAUCCUUGGCAUUCCC
Non-coding RNA from Podarcis lilfordi (Lilford's wall lizard), 74 nucleotides. Lineage: Eukaryota; Metazoa; Chordata; Lepidosauria; Squamata; Lacertidae. The record is from the annotation of a GenBank genome assembly.